GAUGAAGAACGUAGCGAAAUGCGAUAAGUAAUGUGAAUUGCAGAAUUCAGUGAAUCAUCGAAUCUUUGAACGCACCUUGCACCCUUUGGCAUUCCGAAGGGUAUGCUCGUUUGAGUGUCAUUGUACUCUCACACUCUCCGAUCCUAUGGAUUCGGGGAGCGGUGGACUUGGGUGUUGCUGCCUUUCCCUGUGGCUCACCUCAAAUGCGUCAGUGCACCUCUUGGUUGGACAUAGUACAGCGUGAUAAGUGUCUUCGCCGGCACCUCGCAAGAGGGUGGCCGAUCGGGAGCUCUGCGCUUUCAAACCGUCUUCGGACAAUUUCUGACAUCUUGACCUCAAAUCGAGUAGGACUACCCGCUGAACUUAAGCAUAUCAAUAAGCGGAGGA
This 387-nucleotide unclassified non-coding RNA is filed under the name soil metagenome. RNAcentral's name for it is "partial contains 5.8S ribosomal RNA, internal transcribed spacer 2, and large subunit ribosomal RNA". The stretch from base 1 to 120 matches the Rfam family "5.8S ribosomal RNA", at positions 35 to 154 of the family's 154-position model. The record is from RNAcentral.